GGAGAAAAGCAGGGGAUCUCAAGACCUUGCGCGAAUGGAGCGGCCGAUGGCACAUUAGGUAAUUGGUGAGGUAAAGGCUCACCAGGCCUUCAAUCUGUAGCUGGUCUGACAGGACUACCAGCCUCACUGGGACUGAUACACUGACCAUACUCCUACGGGAGGCAUCAUUGGGGAAUUUUGGACAAUGGGCGAAAGUCCUGAUCCAGCCAUGCCACGUGCACGUAGUAGCAACGCCUUCGCGUUGUACAUACUGCUUUUGUACGGAACGAAACGGCCUUUUCUAAUAAAGAGGGCUAAUGACGGUACCGUAAGAAUAAGCACCGGCUAACUACGUGCCAGCAGCCGCGGUAAUACGUAGGGUGCAAGCGUUAAUCGGAAUUACUGGGCGUAAAGCGUGCGCAGGCGGUUAUGUAAGACAGUUGUGAAAUCCCCGGGCUCAACCUGGGAACUGCAUCUGUGACUGCAUAGCUAGAGUACGGUAGAGGGGGAUAGAAUUCCGCGUGUAGCAGUGAAAUGCGUAGAUAUGUGGAGGAACACCGAUGGCGAAGGCAGCCCCCUGGGUCAAGAUUGACGCUCAUGCACGAAAGCGUGGGGAGCAAACAGGAUUAGAUACCCUGGUAGUCCACGCCCUAAACGAUGUCUACUAGUUGUCGGGUUUUAAUUAACUUGGUAACGCAGCUAACGCGUGAAGUAGACCGCCUGGGGAGUACGGUCGCAAGAUUAAAACUCAAGGGAAUUGACGGGGACCCGCACAAGCGGUGGAUGAUGUGGAUUAAUUCGAUGCAACGCGAAAAACCUUACCUACCCUUGACAUGGACGGAAGCCACGAGAGAUCGAGGUGUGCUCGAAAGAGAACCGUCACACAGGUGCUGCAUGGCUGUCGUCAGCUCGUGUCGUGAGAUGUUGGGUUAAGUCCCGCAACGAGCGCAACCCUUGUCAUUAGUUGCUACGAAAGAGCACUCUAAUGAGACUGCCGGUGACAAACCGGAGGAAGGUGGGGAUGACGUCAAGUCCUCAUGGCCCUUAUAGGUGGGGCUACACACGUCAUACAAUGGCUGGUACAAAGGGUUGCCAACCCGCGAGGGGGAGCUAAUCCCAUAAAACCAGUCGUAGUCCGGAUCGGAGUC
Molecule: ribosomal RNA, 1127 nt
Filed under: uncultured Comamonadaceae bacterium
Lineage: Bacteria; Pseudomonadati; Pseudomonadota; Betaproteobacteria; Burkholderiales; Comamonadaceae
Description: bacterial SSU rRNA
Rfam family: Bacterial small subunit ribosomal RNA
Source: RNAcentral